UACGUAGGCAGCAAGCGUUGUUCGGAAUUACUGGGCGUAAAGAGUGUGUAGGUGGUGUCGUAAGUUUGGUGUGAAAUCUCCCGGCUUAACUGGGAGGGUGCGCCGAAGACUGCGAUGCUGGAGUAUGGGAGAGGAAAGCGGAAUUCCUGGUGUAGCGGUGAAAUGCGUAGAUAUCAGGAGGAACACCAACGGCGAAGGCAGCUCGCUGGGACGGUACUGACACUAAGGCGCGAAAGCGUGGGGAGCGAACAGG
RNAcentral lists this ribosomal RNA (253 nucleotides) under uncultured bacterium. RNAcentral describes it as "partial 16S ribosomal RNA". It matches the Rfam family "Bacterial small subunit ribosomal RNA", at positions 524 to 776 of the family's 1533-position model. The record is from RNAcentral.